AAACUUUGAGGAAAAUCACUAUGGUUCAUAUUCUUGUUUAUUAAGGAACUUAUUUGAUGACUCAUUUAGGACAAUAGUUAGAUCUUAUGGACCAAGUGGGAGAAUGCAGUAUUACAUCAAUUUUUUCAAAUUGAUUAGUUAUAAAAACUCACUAUUAAGUGGUCCAUAGGUCAGGGGAGUUAUAGUUGUGGAAUGGCCUCAGGCUUAAUGGCCUUGAAUGACCAUUAUAUGAGUGGUAAUAACUUUUAAUUCUAGAUGGUAGAAUCAACUCUAUAAAUAUCCUUUGGCAUCUGAGCUUUCUUUCAUCUUCAUCCCUUCAUUAUAUACACCUGCUAUAUAGGAGAGAGUAAGAGCUUAGAAGAAGAAUGGCAAGAGGUCCUACUCAUGAUUUACAAAUUGAAGAUAUAUCAGAUAAUAGUUGGCUGAUGUAUAUUGUGCAUUGUCAAUCUGAAGAAACAUGAGAUAUGUCUGUAGUAUGUCUACCAGUGGAUCAACUAUCCAAAAUGCAUUAACAAACAUCAGGUCUUUUUCACCAAUGCAUUGUUUUACCAUGUCUGUUGGCCAUUAUCUCAGAAGGUAGAGUAUUUGCAUGUUCUUAUAUUUAGCUUCAUCUAAUCCUUGAAAAUGACCUCUAUAAGACAAUACCAUGUGAACCCUUGUACCUAACUAGACUCUAUUACAAUCCAUCAAAAUACAUUCAUUGGUUAAUUGGUUUGUUUGAGACCCUUAGCAACUAUAUAUACACUAUUCCUUGAGUUCUCAAAGCAACACAAAUCUUUUCCAUUCUGAGUUAUAAAAACUCAAAUAUUUCUUUCUCAUCCAAUCCUCUGCCAUCAUCAGUAUUUUUUUUUGUGAGGAACCAUAAAUACUAAAAACAAUGGGUUUCCGCAUAGCAAAGCUUAUCAGAAUGCCAUCAUUUUCCAAAACACAAGAGACUGCCAAGGGACUUGAAGUCCCAAAAGGCUAUCUCGCAGUCUAUGUUGGAGAUAGAAUGAGGCGGUUCGUGAUUCCAGUAUCAUAUUUGAGCCAGCCAUCGUUUCAAGAAUUACUAAAUCAAUCAGAAGAAGAAUUUGGAUAUGAUCAUCCAAUGGGUGGUCUCACAAUUCCUUGCGGCGAGGAUGAAUUCCUAAAUCUUACUUCUCGCUUGAAUUGAGCUCUAGAUCAUGCUAAUGGAGAUUUAGAUAGAUUAGUUGAAGCUAAUUACUAUAGAAACCAUUUUUUUUUUCUGUUGAAGAUUUUUUAUUGUUCCGUCCAUGUAUUAAUCAAUCAUUCCUACGGAAAUCAAAAUGUUUCCUGAAUGAGAAUGUUAAAUUAUUAAUGACACCAAAUAUUGUUGAAACA
Medicago truncatula (barrel medic) is the source of this 1341-nucleotide RNA transcript. RefSeq lists it as uncharacterized. The record is from RefSeq and is a predicted model, not a curated record. NCBI's taxonomy places the organism in Eukaryota, Viridiplantae, Streptophyta, Magnoliopsida, Fabales, Fabaceae. The transcript is spliced from 2 exons.